Molecule: ribosomal RNA, 324 nt
Filed under: Triticum aestivum (bread wheat)
Lineage: Eukaryota; Viridiplantae; Streptophyta; Magnoliopsida; Poales; Poaceae
Description: partial small subunit ribosomal RNA
Source: RNAcentral
AUGGACGCGCUCUUCGAGCAACUCUCUGCCGUCGCGGACAUGGCUCUCGACGGCCGGGGCUUCGACCCGGCGCGGCUUGCCGGCGUCCUCGCGCUCUUCGAGGGCGAGGCGCACGCCUCGUGGGCGGCGGCCGAGGCGGAGCACGAGGCGGUGGCCCGGGGCACCGAGGCGGCCGUGGAGACCGCUCAGGGCCACCUGAACGCCGUCAUGGGCGCGGCCGUCGGCAAGUACCGCGGCUCGUCCGGCGAGGCCGACGCGCUGUCCGCGGCCAGGGCGGCCAUGGAUAUGGCCUUCAAGGCGACGUCCGGGACACGCCCCUCGUGA